GACUUAAAAUCCGUCGACUUUAUAAGUUGUGAGGGUUCAAGUCCCUCUAUCCCCAA
This 56-nucleotide transfer RNA is filed under the name Poa annua. RNAcentral describes it as "partial tRNA-Leu". Lineage: Eukaryota; Viridiplantae; Streptophyta; Magnoliopsida; Poales; Poaceae. The record is from RNAcentral.